ACAGAGACCACCCUGGAGAUUUUUAACACCUAUUAACAACUUGGAACGUUUCUCAACGCAGUGUUCUGAUUGUUCGUCUGGGUGGCCGCAAUUCCUAUGGACAACCACGAGGUGGCAGCCAUCAUGUACGCAUAAACGCAGGCAGCGGUGUUUGGGCAUGAAUCUCCUGGAACUAAAAUCGGAUACAGAAACUUCCGAACACC
Pelobates cultripes (western spadefoot toad) is the source of this 203-nucleotide non-coding RNA. Lineage: Eukaryota; Metazoa; Chordata; Amphibia; Anura; Pelobatidae. The record is from the annotation of a GenBank genome assembly.